Molecule: ribosomal RNA, 253 nt
Filed under: uncultured bacterium
Lineage: Bacteria
Description: partial 16S ribosomal RNA
Rfam family: Bacterial small subunit ribosomal RNA
Source: RNAcentral
UACGAAGGGGGCUAGCGUUGCUCGGAAUUACUGGGCGUAAAGCGCACGUAGGCGGCUCUUUAAGUCGGGGGUGAAAUCCUGGAGCCCAACUCCAGAACUGCCUUCGAUACUGGAGAGCUCGAGUCCGGGAGAGGUGAGUGGAACUGCGAGUGUAGAGGUGAAAUUCGUAGAUAUUCGCAAGAACACCAGUGGCGAAGGCGGCUCACUGGCCCGGUACUGACGCUGAGGUGCGAAAGCGUGGGGAGCAAACAGG